AUGGAGUAAGCCGAAAAUCCGAAGAAGAGUAGGCA
Molecule: non-coding RNA, 35 nt
Filed under: unclassified sequences
Description: DUF805b RNA
Rfam family: DUF805b RNA
About the family: Bacteroidetes, Chlorobi (1 example), Proteobacteria. Lineage (Flavobacteria)
Source: RNAcentral